Molecule: long non-coding RNA, 1997 nt
Organism: Musa acuminata AAA Group (dessert banana)
Lineage: Eukaryota; Viridiplantae; Streptophyta; Magnoliopsida; Zingiberales; Musaceae
Exons: 3
Source: RefSeq, a predicted model, not a curated record
ACUAGCAAAAUCAUUCGGCUGCAGAAGAAGAUGGAGAUAUGGCUUGAGCUUGGAAUAUCACUUCACCAUAGAGAAACUGCUCUUCUGCCAAGGAACUAUAUAUAUAUGUAUAUAUAUGCAAGGUUGUUCUAUAACACUCUUUUGGAUUGAUGAGGAAGAGAACAAUCACUUCAUGGCCCCAAACCAACUUUACUUCAAUAGAAAGCCUUCUGAAGACAGCUAUAGGCACUUGAGAAACUGUUGAGGUUGCUUCCUUUUUUUCAGUAGAAUUGAGACACUAGGCAAAUAAAUGUCAGUGGAGUCCUAUAGAAGUUUACUAUGUCAAGUUGGUCCAAAGAUUCAAAGCCAAGGUGUUUUAGAUCCUUCCCUUGUAUUUGGAGCAUGUGGUGACUCAUCUGAAUGCCCAUUAUAAUACUUUGCCUGCAAUCAUUGGUGGGUUUUCAGGUCUUGUAUAUCUUUAAUAUGACAUGAACACGGCGUGGACAAACUCUGGAAAACUUUAAUAUGACAAGUUGUAUAAGUUGCACACCUGUAGACGAACUCCUGAAGAAAAAGAAGAACAACAUAGGAUCAGUGUGCUGGACCAACCUAACCAAAUAAAAUGGCCUCUCUUUGAUCAAUCAUCAAUUGUAUCAUCUGAAACAUUAUCAAGAGUUUUAGUCACAGAAAUCACCUCUCAUACCUAUAAUUCUUUUCUUUUUCAUUUGCGUUGCAGGUUAGGAAGCAACCUGAGGUGUUCAUCUGGACGCCUUAGAGGAGAUCACAAGGCAAAAUAUAGGAUGUUUGCUUAUAAGCUACUCAAGAUAAAGGAAGCAUGAAUCUUGACAAAGAAGGGUGGAUCCCCCAUCCAAAUGGCCUGUUUAGUUUCCAGGGAAGUUAUUAACUAUCGUAGGUUCAUCAUACUCAUUGUUACUGUUCUUGAAUCAUCAGUAUGUCUGUCUCUGGAAUAUCUUUGCAAAAGGAUUAGUUCAUUGACAUGACACAUCAUUAGGUGCUGAUCACCUUGUUUUAACUGAUAUUUCUCAUCAGAGUAUGGCAUUACAGUGUCCUGAACUCCUGAUUGCCUUGUGUACUAAUUGUGGCAUUUCGUUUUCAUUUCCUUGUCAACUAGAUUAACAAAGCAUACCUUUUGAGGCAUAUAAUAAACUUUUGUAAGAUCCGUAUUUUGUCAGUCACCUUUUGUCUCCAAAACAAAGUUUUGAGACUCAGAUCAGUUUUGGCAUUUAUCUCAGCAUUAUUGGAAACAUAAGAUUUAUGCAAAGUCCAGGGUUCAUCAUUCUCUAAUACGAGGCAAUUUAUGUCUGAACUUAUCUUACAUGCAGCAUUAGCCUUGCUGGGUACUCAAACUUUUUCGAAGUACAAAGAAAAAGGUUAUGUUGUUUCGGUCUUCAACAUUCUUGAAUCAAAUACCUUUGUCAGUGUAGAUUAUACUAAAAUUCUCUUGAUCUUACAUAAAUCUUCUUUUUUUCUGAAUCUGAAUCUGAAUCCUACUACUGCUGUUAUUAUUUAUUUUUCCUGAGAAGGAAACUUUGUGGACUAAUAAACUAGACAUAGGUCGUCAACAAAAGAAAGGCAGAUGCUUUUGGAAAAAGAAACAGAUGGUGAUGACACUGUCAAACACUAAUCAAACUAAUAUGUCUUUUUUUCUUCUUUUAGGUUCAUCACUUCCACUGGAGUGUGUGAACUUUGCAGUUCAUGUGUAUGUAGUGCAUUCCAUCCUGUUCUAAAGUAGAAAGGCAAGGCAUUUCAAUCAACUACAUGAUGAAGACUCGUAGCUUUUGGGUCAUGGCUGACCAAGUGUAGUGCUCUCAUGAUGAGGACUUGCCAGAAUCCAGCCAGCGAAGGGGAUGAUGAUAUGGUUCCUUUGCAAUCACAACAAUAUCUCAUACAUGAGGCAGAACCGAAACCAGAACCAUAUGAAAUCGGCCCGGUUUCUAUUUCAUUUUCCCUGGAACCCGUGUUUUCGGAACCGCGAUUAGCUCUAACAUGAGGUUGUA